RNAcentral lists this ribosomal RNA (250 nucleotides) under uncultured prokaryote. RNAcentral describes it as "partial 16S ribosomal RNA". It matches the Rfam family "Bacterial small subunit ribosomal RNA", at positions 524 to 773 of the family's 1533-position model. The record is from RNAcentral.
UACGGGGGGUGCAAGCGUUGUCCGGAAUCAUUGGGUGUAAAGCGUUCGUAGGCGGCACGUCAAGUUUGGUUUCAAAGCCCGGGGCUCAACUCCGGUUCGGCAUUGGAUACUGGCGAGCUAGAAUGCGGUAGAGGUGAUGGGAAUUCCUGGUGUAGCGGUGAAAUGCGUAGAUAUCAGGAGGAACACCGGUGGCGAAAGCGCAUCACUGGGCCGUUAUUGACGCUAAGGAACGAAAGCCGGGGGGGCAAAU